UACGUAGGAUGCAAGCGUUGUCCGGAAUUAUUGGGCGUAAAGAGCGCGCAGGCGGUCUAUCAAGUCAGAUGUGAAAUAUCCCGGCUUAACCGGGAGGGGUCAUUUGAAACUGGUAGACUAGAGUACAGCAGAGGAUAGUGGAAUUCCCGGUGUAGUGGUGAAAUGCGUAGAUAUCGGGGGGAACACCAGUGGCGAAGGCGACUAUCUGGGCUGAAACUGACGCUGAGGCGCGAAGGCUAGGGGAGCAAACAGG
This 253-nucleotide ribosomal RNA is filed under the name uncultured bacterium. RNAcentral describes it as "partial 16S ribosomal RNA". It matches the Rfam family "Bacterial small subunit ribosomal RNA", at positions 524 to 776 of the family's 1533-position model. The record is from RNAcentral.